RNAcentral lists this ribosomal RNA (2947 nucleotides) under Triticum aestivum (bread wheat). Its description in RNAcentral is "partial small subunit ribosomal RNA". Lineage: Eukaryota; Viridiplantae; Streptophyta; Magnoliopsida; Poales; Poaceae. The record is from RNAcentral.
CCGUUGUUGUGUCGUCAUCUUCUUCUAGCGUGCAGUUUUGACAGUGUCUACCCGUAGCAGCUGUAUAGGUAGGCGGGAUAAAUGACGAGGAGCGAGGUUGAGAGAGCGGCGGCAGCAGGAGAGAGCGACUCAAGCUCUGCCCGCGUGGUCGACCAGAGCUCGGUGGGGCCUCGAGAUAUAUUUGUGCGCGGGCGCCGUGUGGUUGGGUGUGCAGCGGUCCCUCUUUAAUUGGCUCUUCUCUCUCCGUUUCGUGUGUGUGCGUCAUCGCAAGGACACUCCGCGCGAUUACCGCCGCGUCCUCCUCCUCUUCCGACGCCCGUCCGCGCGCCCCGGCGUGGGCGACGACGCGCCCGCCUCCGCCCUGCCGUUCAUGUGCGUGCCCGACGUGGGCCGCGUCUACCUCCGCGAGGCGCGGUACACGCCGCGGAAGUAGGGGAGCGACGGCCGGCUCCUCCGCCCGCGGCCGCCGGCGCGGCUGGGCGGGCCGCGGUUCCUGGAGCUCGCGAAGAUGGAGCGGAGGCGGCGGCUGAGGUUGUAGGGGCUGCUCCAACGCCUCGACUACCACUGCGCCACGUAUGCCCUCCGCCGCGACGACCGCACCCACCACGACACCCACGACUCGUGCUCCCACCCGUGCGACGACGACACGCCGGCCGACUCGGAGACGCCGCGGCGGCCGCUCGACGCGGCCAAGCGCCUGUACGGCCGCCUCGCCGUCCUCCGCCGCGACGUCGCUACCUUGUCCUGCGCGACCGAGAAGGGCGAGUCCUAGCAGAAGCGGGAGCAGUUCUAGGAGAGGGUGAUACAGAAGAUGUGGUACCAGCUGCUCUUGAGUCUCUUAGGUGUGACCUUUCGCUAACCUAUGUCGCACCUUCUCACCGUCUCUCUGGCUCUACUUCGCGGGCGGUGUAGCGCCGGCGACCUGUUACCGCAGCAGCUUUGGUCUCGCGACUUGCUGUGGUGGGACGAGUCCAGUGAGCGCCUGUCCACCGAGGGGCACUUCGGCCCGCGCGUCGUGUGCCACGUCACGCUACGGCAGUAGCAGCCCAGGCCGACGCCGCCCCCGCAACGUCGGCGCUACGAGCGUAGGCGCCCCAUGUUCCACCAGCAGCAACUCUUCCCGCUGAUGAAGCGGCGGCUGCUGAUGUCGAGGCAGCUCCCAGGCAGGUACCUCGCGGAGAAGCUCUUCCCGCCGUAGAAGACGUGCAGGUUGCAUUGCUGGUACCACAAGUGGCCGAGGUGACAGCCGCCGCCGAGGCGCCACUUGACCAGCCGGACGUAGGCGUGCGGCCCCCUCCAGAACGUCCUCACCAGGGCGCUGGUGCCCGAGGGCAACAAGCGCCCGGUCCUGAUGGUCGUCCGGUACUUGAGCCACACACUGGCCGAGCCGCAGUGGCUGCUCACGGACUUCCUUCCCAAGGUCUUGUUCCACGACGCGGCUCCCACGCUCCGCGAUCCCGACGGACAGCUGCGGCACGGUGCAUUGAGCAGCCGCCAUGUGAUGACGCCCUCGACGUUGAAGCCGACGGGGUGGCCGCUGUUCGCGCCGUGGCUGUGCUGCACCGAGCAGCUGCGGCAGAACGUGCCGCGCCACUAGGACUGGCCCACGUUCCGGCUCGCGAAGUAGGAGGUCUCGUUGUCGCCGUUCUUGCCGGCCUCGUUCUUUACGCAGCCGGACAACCGCUGCACGUACUCGUUGCCGUAGUGGUUCUUCGACGCGUAGCUCCGCUUCCACAGGUAGAGCCGAACGCCCCGUGAGUACUGCGGAGGCGACGACGCGUUGUCGCCCGACUUCUUGGCCGUGUAGCCGGCCUUGGACGUGGAGGUGGGCCACAGGUACCGCACCCCGAUGAAGGGCCUCUUGUUCGUCCGCCACGGGUAGUGGCCGUUCAGGAUGCUCCCGCCGUAGUAGUGCUCGUACGUGGCGCAGUGUGGCGCGUGGUAGUAGCUCUGCGGCCGCGAUCCCGGCCCCCGGAAGCGGCGGUACCACGGCACCCUCAGCCCGGCGCUGUACUUCCUCGCGUACUCGGCCAUGCGCGCGUGCCGCGUGCGCAAGCGGGAGCAGGCGCUGGCGCCGAGCCCCAAGCAUCUGACGCUCCCGGCGGAAGCGAAGUGGGGGUCGGCGCUGCUGCGGGCGCUCGAGGCGUUGCCGGACGCGGUGCACGACGCGUAGGACCACCGGCGGCCACGCCGCCUCCACCCGUGCGUGGCGUCGCUGCCCGAGGCCGACGCCACGUUCCCGCACGCGCUGCUCCUGGACCUCCGCAAGGACCUGCUCCACUGGUAGCUCUUCCCCGGGUACGUGAGCUGCCGCCUGUUUACCCGCCAGAAGAGGAGCCGGGUAGUCUACCCGUCGACGGCGUACCCGAGGUCGGGGUUCCUGUCGCGGCAGCUGCCGUCGCCGCUCUCGACCCUCCGGCUCCCGGACAUGCAGACGCUGCCGUCGGAGGAGGGGUGGCGCCAGCCGCAGUUGGGUUACUAGUGGUAAGUCAGGCAGCGGAUGACGGAGAGGUUCCCGUAGCGGCUCAGGUACUGGUUGCCGGUCUUCGUGAUGAUCUCAUGAUAUACAUGAUCAGCUAGCUCAGUCCCCAGCGGUUGAGCACCGCAGUCAACGAGUCCACGUGAACAGACCGUAUUUCCGUGACAUAUAUAUCCUAAGCAAUAAUUCUUUUACAAUUUAUGAGCCAAUACAAACAAUGAAGAACCCAGGUAUUUAUAUCGAGCUAAUAUAAAAAAAAAUUUCUGGUCAACAGGUAAAACGGUAAAGUAAACCUAAAGGUAUCGAAUCUAGUGACCGAAAGAAAAGAAUGUGCAGAGUCAGUUGAAAGAGUCGGGAUACUCAACAGAAAAAAAUCACAUUUAGUUCUCCGUAGAUGCGCAAGGUAUAAAGGGCGCAUUCUCGUAGAUGUAACGUCACAUUUAGUUCCCCGUAGAUGCGCCAGGGAUC